UCCUAGCCCCGAUAGCAGCGGCAUCCUUUUCUUUUUUUCUUUAAAAAAGAAAAGAUACAGCGGAGAGCGGGAAUAAGC
RNAcentral lists this small RNA (78 nucleotides) under Flavobacterium xueshanense. Its description in RNAcentral is "Flavo-1 RNA". It matches the Rfam family "Flavo-1 RNA". Lineage: Bacteria; Pseudomonadati; Bacteroidota; Flavobacteriia; Flavobacteriales; Flavobacteriaceae. The record is from RNAcentral.